CCUUGGAUAGUUAUGACUGUUUUAUCGAUUCUGUUGUUGCUGGUUGGACUUCUUCAUUUCGGCAACUAUAUUCAGAACAAAGGCACAGCUGAUGCUCAAACAGUCACUGUUGAGGCCCGUCGAGUGUCAGCAGAUGCACCAAGCGACCAAGUGAUGUAUGCUGCGAUUACAAUAGACAGAACAAAGAGAG
Non-coding RNA from Labrus bergylta (ballan wrasse), 190 nucleotides. The record is from RefSeq and is a predicted model, not a curated record. Lineage: Eukaryota; Metazoa; Chordata; Actinopteri; Labriformes; Labridae.